CAGUCGUACCUGCGGAUAAUCAGCCUUUAGGAUGCGAUUUUGUGGAGCGUGAGGGGCUAAUCGCCUUCAUGCCUAUAUAUUCGUGUACUUGGGGUGUACUUUUUCGUACGGUUAGUCAACAUCGGUUUUGAAUGUCAUAAAAUGACUGGAGGAAUGUAGCUUCGAUCUCGUAUUGAAGUGUUAUAGCCUUUGGUAGAUGUGAUGUUUGAGACCGAGGAUUGCAACGGAUACCCUUUAGGGCUAUUCGUCUGAUCUCUGAUACGUUGCCUUGAUGUUGAAGCUUGCUUAUGAUGUUAGGGUAUUACGGUCAAAGGUUAGGACGGAUUAGAUU
This 331-nucleotide ribosomal RNA is filed under the name Funneliformis mosseae. Lineage: Eukaryota; Fungi; Glomeromycota; Glomeromycetes; Glomerales; Glomeraceae. The record is from RNAcentral.